Molecule: transfer RNA, 65 nt
Filed under: Clostridium amazonitimonense
Lineage: Bacteria; Bacillati; Bacillota; Clostridia; Eubacteriales; Clostridiaceae
Also listed under: 2 other names
Rfam family: tRNA
About the family: Transfer RNA (tRNA) molecules are approximately 80 nucleotides in length. Their secondary structure includes four short double-helical elements and three loops (D, anti-codon, and T loops).
Source: RNAcentral
CAGUGGCUCAGUUGGUUAGAGUGCCGGCCUGUCACGCCGGAGGUCGAGGGUUCGAGUCCCUUCUG